CCUAACCUAGCAAAAGAAUCUAAAAUAUGUUUCACCCAAAUUAGGGUUUAACGAUUUUAGGGCUGACGAGACGACCAGUGUAGGGGUUUAAGCUUCAACUACACUUUCCGCCAUACUUUUUCCCUUCGAAGCUUUCCUUGUCUCUAUUCAACGUUUCAGGACGAAGAAGAAAGGUGGGCUUAUCUCCCUCAUUUUCUUUUCUGGCGGAAUAUUUCUCUCUCUUCUUCGAAGUUUUUGAACUUUGAAGCAAGAAAGGGCUUAUACCCUCAAAUGUACACUAAGAGAGCCACAAUUCUCAAGCUCAAUUCUCUCACGGUGUUAUCAAAGGUAUGCUCUCCCCGAAACGCUUCAGAUUCUCUUAAAAAAAUUUAUCUUUUGAGAAAUUUUAGAUCUGCAGCCGGAUUAGUCGAUUCCCAAGUCGAUAAUGGCUAUCAAACGGAAGUUUCUUCUGAAUAUGGUCAAAACCCUCGUGGGUUUCAGAGCGAGAGACGUAACUUCACUGAUUUUGAGGACAAAGUGAGGGGACAAGGCUCAGCUCCAUAUGGGUUUUAUGGAAAAGGCCCUAAAAAUGGUUUUGUGGAAAGUACAGUUUCCCAUAAUGGUAACUGUAGUGGAGAUUUUGGAAAAAAUGAUAGUGAUUUGACGCGAAACUCAAAUGGGGCGUACCAGAAUCAUGGCGGGGCUUAUAGGGAGAGCUCUAACUUUGGAAGUUUUAACAACCAGUCUGGGCAAAAUGAGAACUUUAGUGGGUUUUAUGCUCAAAAUAAUGGAGGAAAUGGAAAUAUGCAGAAUUUAAAUACUUCUUAUCAGGUGGGAUCGAGUGAAAUGAGGCAAAACCCAGGUGGGUUUAGUUCACAAGGAAAUUUGGGAUUUCAGGGGGCUCCAAAUGGAAAUUAUUCGCAAUCAUUUUCGCAGUUUCAGCAAAGCCCGGAUACUCAGUAUGCGGGAAACUCUGGAAUGCAUCAGCAGAUCCCUGUCUAUGGACAGUAUCAACAUAAUCAUCAGCCAACCUCUAAUUAUUAUCAUAAUACUAUGGCGGGUCCUCAAGUACCAAGUUACCCUUUACCUGAAGGGGCAUUGGUUGAAGCACCCCAAAGUAGCCCAAAUGUUGUGAGUCUUCAGGACUUAGAUGGUCUGUGUAAGGAGGGGAAAGCCAAGGAAGCUGUGGAGGUUUUAAAAUUGUUGGAGAAACAACAUAUUCAUGUGGAUUUGCCUAGAUAUUUACUGUUAAUGCAGGUCUGUGGAGAGGCUAAAGCCCUAGAAGAGGCCAAAGUUGUUCAUGAAGAUAUUAUAAGGUCACAACCUUCUCUUCAAGUAAGUGAUUAUAACAGAAUCCUAGAGACAUAUUCAAGAUGUGGCUCUAUGGAAGAUGCAUUCUUGGUAUUUAACAAGAUGCCACAGCACAAUUUGACAUCGUGGGACAUUAUGAUAACAUGGCUUGCCAAGAAUGGUUCUGGGUGGGACGCCAUUGAUAUGUUCACUGAGUUUAAGCAGGCAGGGCGGAAACCCGAUGGUCAAAUGUUUAUUGGGGUUUUCUACGCUUGCAGUGUUGCUGGAGAUAUUGAUGAGGGAAUGUUGCAUUUUGAGUCAAUGAGCAAAGAUUUUGGCAUUGUUCCAGCGAUGGAUCAUUAUGUCAGUAUAGUUGAUAUGCUAGGAAGUGCAGGCCAUCUGGAUGAAGCUUUGGAGUUCAUUGAGAAGAUGCCAUUGCAGCCUACUGUUGAUAUUUGGGAAGCCCUAAUGAAUUUGUGCAGAGUUCAUGGGCACACAGAGCUUGGUGAUCGUUGUGCUGAGCUUGUUGAGCAGCUAGAACCUUCACGCUUAGAUAAGGAGUCAAAAGCUGGCCUUAUUCCAGUGAAAUCUUCUGAUUUUGUAAAAGAGAAAGAGAAGAAGAAAGAUCCAAGUCUUUUAGAAGUAAGAAGUCGAGUCCAUGAAUAUAGAGCAGGUGAUACCUCUCAUCCUGAGAAUGAUAAGAUUUAUGCCAAGCUUAGGGGUUUGAGAGAACAAAUGAAAGAAGCUGGUUAUAUACCGGAGACUAGAUUUGUGCUACAUGACAUAGAUCAGGAAAGCAAGGAAGAUGCUCUUCUUGCUCACAGUGAGAGACUGGCUGUUGCCUAUGGCCUCCUCAGCAGCUCAGCACGUUCACCUAUUAGGGUGAUCAAGAAUCUUCGGGUUUGUGGUGAUUGUCAUAACGCACUGAAGAUCAUUUCUAAGAUAGUCGGCAGAGAACUCAUCAUGCGUGAUGCUAAGAGGUUCCAUCACUUCAAAGAUGGAUUGUGCUCUUGCCGGGAUUAUUGGUGAACAAAAAUUGAGGACAAACUGUUUUGGUAUGUGUUAAUCAUCUAUUGCCUGCUUCGAUUAGUGGAAUCCUAACUGAGAAAAUAUUAGGAUCUACUAUGGCGAUCGAUGGUCCUUCACAGAUCGCCAUCGUUGCCAUUAAGUCAAGGCAUAUGCAGGACGUGAUUUUUGUAAUUUUUUCCCUUCAUUUCAGUUAUGGUAUAACUGAAAAGAUCUCUUCGGAUAACCAUUCUUGCAGCCAUUGAAGCUUAUCCUCCAUAUUCUUAUUCAUACAAAAUUUUGGUUUGUUGCGAAUUGGAUGUAGAUAUUAUACCAUAACAGGGCAUGUAGCAAUGAAAAACCUGCUUGUAUUUUUGACCUGCCUGACUUAAUAAAUAUAUUUCAUUUCAUUAA
This is an RNA transcript of Humulus lupulus (European hop), 2688 nucleotides long. It is a transcript of the gene named pentatricopeptide repeat-containing protein At4g32450, mitochondrial, with no coding region annotated. The transcript is spliced from 3 exons. NCBI's taxonomy places the organism in Eukaryota, Viridiplantae, Streptophyta, Magnoliopsida, Rosales, Cannabaceae. The record is from RefSeq and is a predicted model, not a curated record.